UACGUAGGGGGCAAGCGUUGUCCGGAUUUACUGGGCGUAAAGAGCGUGUAGGCGGCCACGCAGGUCCGUUGUGAAAACUGGAGGCUCAACCUCCAGCUGUCGACGGAAACCGUAUGGCUAGAGUCCGGAAGAGGAGAGUGGAAUUCCUGGUGUAGCGGUGAAAUGCGCAGAUAUCAGGAAGAACACCCGUGGCGAAGGCGGCUCUCUGGGACGGUACUGACGCUGAGACGCGAAAGCGUGGGGAGCAAACAGG
Molecule: ribosomal RNA, 253 nt
Filed under: uncultured bacterium
Lineage: Bacteria
Description: partial 16S ribosomal RNA
Rfam family: Bacterial small subunit ribosomal RNA
Source: RNAcentral